RNAcentral lists this ribosomal RNA (403 nucleotides) under uncultured bacterium. Its description in RNAcentral is "partial 16S ribosomal RNA". It matches the Rfam family "Bacterial small subunit ribosomal RNA", at positions 28 to 526 of the family's 1533-position model. The record is from RNAcentral.
GACGAACGCUGGCGGCGUGCCUAAUACAUGCAAGUCGAACGCAGUGGGGACGGGUGAGUAACACGUGGGUAACCUCCCAUCAGAGGGGAUAACACUUGGAAACAGGUGCUAAACCGAUACUGAUGGAUGGACCCGCGGUGCAUUAGCUAGUUGGUGAGGUAACGGCUCACCAAGGCCCCGAUGCAUAGCCGACCUGAGAGGGUGUACGGCCACACUGGGAAUGGGACACGGCCCAGACUCCUGAGGGAGGCAGCAGUAGGGAUGCUGCGGCAAUGGACGAAAGUCUGACCGAGCAAGGCCGCGUGAGUGAAGAAGGUUUUCGGAUCGUAAAACUCUGGUGUUAGAGAAGCGGUAGCUAACCAGAAAGCCACGGCUAACUACGUGCCAGCCGCCGCGGUAAUAC